ACGGGGGUGGUCGUCAACGUCAGGAUCUUGUGGCACUCUCAAAUCUUCCAUGGCACUUUCAAGAUCUACCAACGUUUCGAAGCUUUUCGCCGAGCUCUACACCUGCAGAUCUUUCUUUGCACCGCUCAAUCAUUCUGCGCUGCACGGGACAACGAUUCCGACCAACUAAGGUCACUAAGUAAUGUUAUUUCGAUAUUCCAUUGAGAAAAUGGAGAGGAUCUCGUGGAAAGACCAACAAGCAAGGAUUACGUUGAGAAAAUUGGCCGAUAAUCACGAUGAAAUCGAUAUUUAGAAGAAAUGGAAUGCGCAGGAGAAGAGACCAGGGAAGAAGGGUUGAGAAGAGAGAGAAAGGGAAUCGGGCGGCGAGUAAGAAACAGAUAGAGGGAAGAGAGAAAAUAUACAUGAAGGUAGUGUUAUUUUUUUUGAGAGUGUAAAUAAUUUUAACUUUUUAAUAUUGAAAGGGU
Molecule: unclassified non-coding RNA, 464 nt
Filed under: Hevea brasiliensis (rubber tree)
Lineage: Eukaryota; Viridiplantae; Streptophyta; Magnoliopsida; Malpighiales; Euphorbiaceae
Source: RNAcentral